This 1235-nucleotide ribosomal RNA is filed under the name Arthrobacter sp. MM51May. RNAcentral's name for it is "bacterial SSU rRNA". It matches the Rfam family "Bacterial small subunit ribosomal RNA", at positions 158 to 1405 of the family's 1533-position model. Lineage: Bacteria; Bacillati; Actinomycetota; Actinomycetes; Micrococcales; Micrococcaceae. The record is from RNAcentral.
UGGGUCUAAUACCGGAUAUGACUCCUCAUCGCAUGGUGGGGGGUGGAAAGCUUUUGUGGUUUUGGAUGGACUCGCGGCCUAUCAGCUUGUUGGUGGGGUAAUGGCCUACCAAGGCGACGACGGGUAGCCGGCCUGAGAGGGUGACCGGCCACACUGGGACUGAGACACGGCCCAGACUCCUACGGGAGGCAGCAGUGGGGAAUAUUGCACAAUGGGCGCAAGCCUGAUGCAGCGACGCCGCGUGAGGGAUGACGGCCUUCGGGUUGUAAACCUCUUUCAGUAGGGAAGAAGCGAAAGUGACGGUACCUGCAGAAGAAGCGCCGGCUAACUACGUGCCAGCAGCCGCGGUAAUACGUAGGGCGCAAGCGUUAUCCGGAAUUAUUGGGCGUAAAGAGCUCGUAGGCGGUUUGUCGCGUCUGCUGUGAAAGACCGGGGCUCAACUCCGGUUCUGCAGUGGGUACGGGCAGACUAGAGUGCAGUAGGGGAGACUGGAAUUCCUGGUGUAGCGGUGAAAUGCGCAGAUAUCAGGAGGAACACCGAUGGCGAAGGCAGGUCUCUGGGCUGUAACUGACGCUGAGGAGCGAAAGCAUGGGGAGCGAACAGGAUUAGAUACCCUGGUAGUCCAUGCCGUAAACGUUGGGCACUAGGUGUGGGGGACAUUCCACGUUUUCCGCGCCGUAGCUAACGCAUUAAGUGCCCCGCCUGGGGAGUACGGCCGCAAGGCUAAAACUCAAAGGAAUUGACGGGGGCCCGCACAAGCGGCGGAGCAUGCGGAUUAAUUCGAUGCAACGCGAAGAACCUUACCAAGGCUUGACAUGAACCGGUAAUACCUGGAAACAGGUGCCCCGCUUGCGGUCGGUUUACAGGUGGUGCAUGGUUGUCGUCAGCUCGUGUCGUGAGAUGUUGGGUUAAGUCCCGCAACGAGCGCAACCCUCGUUCUAUGUUGCCAGCGCGUUAUGGCGGGGACUCAUAGGAGACUGCCGGGGUCAACUCGGAGGAAGGUGGGGACGACGUCAAAUCAUCAUGCCCCUUAUGUCUUGGGCUUCACGCAUGCUACAAUGGCCGGUACAAAGGGUUGCGAUACUGUGAGGUGGAGCUAAUCCCAAAAAGCCGGUCUCAGUUCGGAUUGGGGUCUGCAACUCGACCCCAUGAAGUCGGAGUCGCUAGUAAUCGCAGAUCAGCAACGCUGCGGUGAAUACGUUCCCGGGCCUUGUACACACCGCCCGUCAAGUCAC